Long non-coding RNA from Gavialis gangeticus (Gharial), 1920 nucleotides. RefSeq lists it as uncharacterized. The transcript has 3 exons. The record is from RefSeq and is a predicted model, not a curated record. Lineage: Eukaryota; Metazoa; Chordata; Crocodylia; Gavialidae.
AUUCUCUUAUGAUUCUAUCACACUGGGCACAAUGUAAGUCACAAGGCAGUUCAGUUUUUGGUAGUAACUACUAAAUAUAGACCAUUUUUGCUAUUCAGUUUAAUUAAAUCAAUGAUUUUGAAUGUCCAGAAAUAUUUCUGUUUAAGCUGAAAGUUCAGAUUGCUUCUUGCAUUCUACAAAAUUAUUUUAUGUUAUGAUCCCAUUUAACAGGAUAUCAGACUCCCACACAGAGACUGCUGAUGGUAUAAACUAUCACCUGCUCAUGAACCAGGGUCAAAAGGAAAAAAAAAAGUACGUUGCUCACACACAUACUAACUAUUGAGAGAACAAUAAGGAAAUAGCACAUCAUCACUGCUGGCAGUAGACACUGUGGUAGACAAAUCAUUCACAGCAAAGUGACCUUUGUAAUCCUGAAAAAAAUCAGAGAAGCAAUUAUAAAUGUUUCUUUUUUCUUUUUAAUGCCAUGAAUGACUUAUGAUGUAGAACAUUAAUGAUCCUUUUUUCAAACAGAAGCUGGACAGCAGGGAGUGUAUUAUACUUUAAUGACCCCUUUAAAGAUACAUUUCUGUAGUAAGUUUGGUGUCUGUAUUUCAGUCAUUGCCCUGACAGGUACUAUGCAUACAUUUUAUAUAAAUGAUCAUUUCCUGACAUAUUUUCUGGUUUGAAAAUUGUAUACCUGUUUUCGCUUCAGCUUAAUAUCCUUCAGGAGAGGGAACUAGAUACAUCACUGCAGUAACAAACCUCAGGCUUUUUUCAUUCUGUGCACUGCUUUGUACAACCAACUUUUUUCAUCUCUUUUUCAAGCCCCAGCAUUUCUUCCAAGAUAUUAUGGAAAGGUGGAAACAAAUGUCAUAUGCCAGAUUUCCCUUUGUAUUGAUAUGGGCUGAAGAGAACCAAUAGCUGCACAGAGGGUCUGGGAGAUGGGGAUUCAGGGUCAGAGAAGGAAAAAAAGCAGCAACAUCACUUUUUGCUUUUCUUUCCUUCCAGACUUAUGGGUGCUUGCCCAGCCUCAUUUGUCAGGGCAAGAAGUAGCCUGUUUUCUGGAGCUGGAAGAUAUGCAAAGGUAAUGUUGUUCCAGUAUGUCCAGAGCCACCACAUCACUAUCUCCUUGUGCAGGUGUUGGGUUUGGUGGCCAGUGGGUAUAAGACUCUGAUCUUCCCUGGGAGAAGGGGACCCAGAAGAACUCAGGGUUCUAUGGAGUCCUAACUCCAUGUACAGAACUGGAGCAUCUUGACCCACACAGAUCUUCAGAGUUGGUAGUAUGCCUUCUGUUGGAAGCCCAAAUGUCAUCCUGAAGGGAGGUAUGGUUAAAAAUUCCACAAAGAGACUCUGCUAAGUCCCUAGGCUUUGGCAAGAGGAUGUGACAUGGAGCACUAUUGGUUUGGUGAAAGAUUUGGAUCAGCGUAGGGAUCCUCUUGUUUUCAGCACCGUAGCUUCCCCACCUACCUUCAACUACAGCACUACAAUACAUCAUAUUCAAUAGGCAACUUCCUGCAUUGAGAGAACACCCACAAGUAUUCUGCAGUUUUACUCCAUUUUGACUAGUAUUAAUUGCUCAAUACUUCAGAUAUGUAAAUUGUAGAAUAGGCAAGUUUUGGGAGGAGUUAUAUGGAUUAUAAACUGGAGCAGAUAGAGGGGGUACUGUAGUCUGAAUAACCCAAGAUGUGUGAAGACAGUGAAACAACUGUUCUGCAGGACCUUCUGGUUCAAAAAGUAUUAGAAGACCAAGUCAUUCAUAUGCUUAACUUUGAACACAUGCUUGUCCCAAUGAAGUCAAUAAAACAAAUCAUGUUUAUAAAGCUAAGCACAUACAUAAAUGUUUGUAGGAACAGGGCUUUAGAAUGGGCAGUAAGUCCACCUCUAUCAGUAUUGUUAAGUGCCAUGCACAUUUGUUGUGCUAUGUGGGGAGCAGGGAGGAAA